RNAcentral lists this long non-coding RNA (342 nucleotides) under Zostera marina. RNAcentral's name for it is "long non-coding RNA (ZMAR_LNC005706)". Lineage: Eukaryota; Viridiplantae; Streptophyta; Magnoliopsida; Alismatales; Zosteraceae. The record is from RNAcentral.
UCUUUCUUUCUAUCAAGUCCGGUCGGGCCCUCUUCAGAUCCGAAUUCCGUCGUGCAAAAAGUGAGACAAAUUGGAAAGUAAACAGCAAUAAUGUGCAGACUGCCCAUCCUCGUUGGCAGAUACUGGAAUCUGCCAUGAAUCUAGAUCGACGGGACUAGGUAAAGAUUUUAAUCCUUAAUUUGUGCAUCGAAAUUAAGAAUUUUUUUUUUAAUACAGCUUGGCUAGUUAAUAAUUACUGAGCGUUUGAAUCAGGGAAUUAAGGAUCAAAUGUCUAUGAAAUCCGUUCUCCAAUGCAUUUGAAAUGAUAAAAAAAUGAAAAGGGAAUAUCUCCGUCACGUUCUC